GUUAAGCGACUAAGCGUACACGGUGGAUGCCCUGGCAGUCAGAGGCGAUGAAGGGCGUGCUAAUCUGCGAUAAGCGCCGGUAAGGUGAUAUGAACCGUUAUAACCGGCGAUACCCGAAUGGGGAAACCCAGUGUGACUCGUCACACUAUCAUUAACUGAAUCCAUAGGUUAAUGAGGCGAACCGGGGGAACUGAAACAUCUAAGUACCCCGAGGAAAAGAAAUCAACCGAGAUUCCCCCAGUAGCGGCGAGCGAACGGGGAGGAGCCCAGAGCCUGAAUCAGCAUGUGUGUUAGUGGAAGCGUCUGGAAAGGCGCGCGAUACAGGGUGACAGCCCCGUACACAAAAGCGCAUGUGCUGUGAGCUCGAUGAGUAGGGCGGGACACGUGGUAUCCUGUCUGAAUAUGGGGGGACCAUCCUCCAAGGCUAAAUACUCCUGACUGACCGAUAGUGAACCAGUACCGUGAGGGAAAGGCGAAAAGAACCCCGGCGAGGGGAGUGAAAAAGAACCUGAAACCGUGUACGUACAAGCAGUGGGAGCACCCUUUUGGGUGUGACUGCGUACCUUUUGUAUAAUGGGUCAGCGACUUAUAUUCUGUAGCAAGGUUAACCGUAUAGGGGAGCCGUAGGGAAACCGAGUCUUAACCGGGCGUUAAGUUGCAGGGUAUAGACCCGAAACCCGGUGAUCUAGCCAUGGGCAGGUUGAAGGUUGGGUAACACUAACUGGAGGACCGAACCGACUAAUGUUGAAAAAUUAGCGGAUGACCUGUGGCUGGGGGUGAAAGGCCAAUCAAACCGGGAGAUAGCUGGUUCUCCCCGAAAGCUAUUUAGGUAGCGCCUCGUGAAUUCAUCUCCGGGGGUAGAGCACUGUUUCGGCUAGGGGGCCAUCCCGGCUUACCAACCCGAUGCAAACUGCGAAUACCGGAGAAUGUUAUCACGGGAGACACACGGCGGGUGCUAACGUCCGUCGUGAAGAGGGAAACAACCCAGACCGCCAGCUAAGGUCCCAAAGUCAUGGUUAAGUGGGAAACGAUGUGGGAAGGCCCAGACAGCCAGGAUGUUGGCUUAGAAGCAGCCAUCAUUUAAAGAAAGCGUAAUAGCUCACUGGUCGAGUCGGCCUGCGCGGAAGAUGUAACGGGGCUAAACCAUGCACCGAAGCUGCGGCAGCGACGCUUAUGCGUUGUUGGGUAGGGGAGCGUUCUGUAAGCCUGUGAAGGUGUGUCGUGAGGCAUGCUGGAGGUAUCAGAAGUGCGAAUGCUGACAUAAGUAACGAUAAAGCGGGUGAAAAGCCCGCUCGCCGGAAGACCAAGGGUUCCUGUCCAACGUUAAUCGGGGCAGGGUGAGUCGACCCCUAAGGCGAGGCCGAAAGGCGUAGUCGAUGGGAAACGGGUUAAUAUUCCCGUACUUGGUGUUACUGCGAAGGGGGGACGGAGAAGGCUAUGUUGGCCGGGCGACGGUUGUCCCGGUUUAAGCGUGUAGGUGUGUGUUCCAGGUAAAUCCGGUUCACUUUAACACUGAGGCGUGACGACGAGGCACUACGGUGCUGAAGCAACAAAUGCCCUGCUUCCAGGAAAAGCCUCUAAGCAUCAGGUAACAUCAAAUCGUACCCCAAACCGACACAGGUGGUCAGGUAGAGAAUACCAAGGCGCUUGAGAGAACUCGGGUGAAGGAACUAGGCAAAAUGGUGCCGUAACU
This 1693-nucleotide ribosomal RNA is filed under the name Salmonella enterica subsp. enterica. RNAcentral describes it as "partial 23S ribosomal RNA". It matches the Rfam family "Bacterial large subunit ribosomal RNA", at positions 1 to 1735 of the family's 2925-position model. Lineage: Bacteria; Pseudomonadati; Pseudomonadota; Gammaproteobacteria; Enterobacterales; Enterobacteriaceae. The record is from RNAcentral.